UUUCAUUAAAGAAAAGCACUGACCGCCCACUGCGUGCCUUAUCUCAUCGCCGACGCCACUCCUCUCCUUCUUUUAUCCAGAUCGCCAAUUCCUCCGCUCAUCCUAAUCCAGCGCUGGUCCUCUUCUUCUUCUCUCACCAUCCAAUCUAGCCAAGAGCCGCACGUGCGCAGGGCCGUGGUGGCUGGCCAGUGCAGCACCCCCUAAUCGGCGAUGAACCCAGAGGCCGCCAUGGCUGGCGCCUUGGAGCUCCUCUGCCUCGUCCUGAUCUGGCCGUCCGCCCCAGUCAUCGGCCCCGUGCUCCGGAUCAGGCCAGAAGCCUCGCCUACGACCUGAUUCAGACUGCCUAGCCUUCGCCACCUGCGCCGUGCCCCAGAGGUUCGGCCGAUCCCGCGUCGCUCAUUCUCGCUUCUUCCACUGCUCGCGGCUCGCGUUGACUGCGAGAGGCCACAUGCCUCGUCCAACCACAUCCUCUCACUGCCUUGCUCCUCCACCACCACUCCUCUCCCUUCUUCCUCCCCUCCCUGCCAGCCAGGGCACUCUCCCUCUCCCGCCUCCGUUCGCCGCAGGUGAGUGCAUGGCUACGGGUGUCUGGCCAGCAGCAACAGCUGCGGCAGUUCCGCGCCCGGAGAAGCCGCGCGCUGGGCGAUGUGGAGGAGGACGACAUGCUGCUUCCUCAUUCGGGCGUCCUCCUCUGCGCCGUCGAGAGACGGCCAUGGCCGCCCGAUGCCCGAGCGCCGCCGGCCAAGGAUCCGCCGGCGUCCAGACCCCCUCCACGCCAUCCCCAUCUCGCCGGAGACCUACACCAAGUCACAUCCAGCGCUCGCGCCACCCUUCGGGCCCUGCCCCGCAGCUCUGCAGCCCGAGCGCUUCGGCCGCCUCGCACCCGAAGCAGAGGAGAGGAGCUCCCUACCACGAGCCUCUCCAGCCCCGGCAAACCAGCAGGCCGACCCCGCCUCCUUCUCACUUCCCUCCUCCUUCCUUUUUUUCCGCCGGGACGCAUCACCCCUUCCUUGGCUUCUGCGGAGUGGAAGCCGGCGGCAAGCUGCGGCCCGUGCCCGGCGGUGGAGAAGGCAAACGGGGUAGAAUUGUAACUAAUGCAGGGGCGUUUAUGUAAAUACGAAGUGUUUUCUCACGUACCACUUAAAAUAGGACUGCGGAUUGAAUUCUAAAAAAGGAAGGGGCUUUUCUGCAAAAGUGCAGACGACGUACAACCAGAAGCAAUCGCUGGUUUAUUAGUAGGUAGAGAUAGAGAUUUGCCCAGGCAAGACAAGGAUUCCAAGGACGGUCAAAAAUUGUAAGGCAGUCCAUGAGGGAGGAAGCUUGACGGGCCGUCCUGCUAUGUUGCUCACUUCUAAUUUUCAGUAAAAACAAAUGCAGCGCCCUGACGGACAAA
Aegilops tauschii subsp. strangulata is the source of this 1393-nucleotide long non-coding RNA. RefSeq lists it as uncharacterized. The record is from RefSeq and is a predicted model, not a curated record. NCBI's taxonomy places the organism in Eukaryota, Viridiplantae, Streptophyta, Magnoliopsida, Poales, Poaceae.